This 482-nucleotide ribosomal RNA is filed under the name uncultured bacterium. RNAcentral describes it as "partial 16S ribosomal RNA". It matches the Rfam family "Bacterial small subunit ribosomal RNA", at positions 30 to 507 of the family's 1533-position model. The record is from RNAcentral.
AUUGAACGCUGGCGGCAUGCCUUACACAUGCAAGUCGAACGAUAACAGGUCUUCGGAUGCUGACGAGUGGCGUACGGGUGAGUAAUACAUCGGAACGUGCCCGAUCGUGGGGGAUAACGAGGCGAAAGCUUUGCUAAUACCGCAUACGAUCUACGGAUGAAAGCGGGGGAUCUUCGGACCUCGCGCGGACGGAGCGGCCGAUGGCAGAUUAGGUAGUUGGUGGGAUAAAAGCUUACCAAGCCGACGAUCUGUAGCUGGUCUGAGAGGAUGAUCAGCCACACUGGGACUGAGACACGGCCCAGACUCCGACGGGAGGCAGCAGUGGGGAAUUUUGGACAAUGGGCGAAAGCCUGAUCCAGCCAUGCCGCGUGCAGGAUGAAGGCCUUCGGGUUGUAAACUGCUUUUGUACGGAACGAAAAGCCUCUUUCUAAUAAAGAGGGGUCAUGACGGUACCGUAAGAAUAAGCACCGGCUAACUACGUG